RNAcentral lists this unclassified non-coding RNA (409 nucleotides) under Rhopalosiphum maidis (corn leaf aphid). RNAcentral describes it as "zinc finger protein 271-like, transcript variant X6". Lineage: Eukaryota; Metazoa; Arthropoda; Insecta; Hemiptera; Aphididae. The record is from RNAcentral.
AUAACGAGACACGAUGUUUUAAAUUUUAAUAUAAUACAUUACAUUUAAUGCUAAUCAACAACGUCUAAUUGUUCAAUGCUUUUCGUAGCCAAAUCUUAACUCUGUUUAUUUGUAUUACUUGUUGGUGAUUUCCAUUAACCAUAUAUCAUUAUUCAUGUUUCUUGGAUACCUUAACUGGUUCUUAUGUACUCAACCAUUCAGAUUCUUGCACACACUGCGAUGGUAACUGUAGAGUUCAAUAGUUGUAUCAGCUGCAUUUUAAGGCUAUUGUGGCGAUACCGUCAAAACAGUAUAAUUUUUCUGCCACCGCUAUAGGUUGUCAUAAGUCUCAGUUUGGCCAAAACAAUAUCGGUUUUGAAAUAUAGUGUCCCAGUGUCAUGUACAUGUUUUGGUACAGUCAAUUGUCCAG